Molecule: ribosomal RNA, 327 nt
Filed under: uncultured eukaryote
Lineage: Eukaryota
Description: partial 18S ribosomal RNA
Rfam family: Eukaryotic small subunit ribosomal RNA
Source: RNAcentral
CCCUUAGAUGUUCUGGGCCGCACGCGCGCUACACUGACGAAUGCAACGAGCUUAUAACCUUGGCCGAAAGGUCUGGGUAAUCUCCAAAUUUCGUCGUGAUGGGGAUAGAUUAUUGCAAUUAUUAAUCUUCAACGAGGAAUGCCUAGUAAGCGCAAGUCACCAGCUUGCGUUGAUUACGUCCCUGCCCUUUGUACACACCGCCCGUCGCUCCUACCGAUUGAAUGGUCCGGUGAAGCGUUCGGACCGUGGCCUUUGGACGGUUCGCCGUCUGUUGGCUGCGGGAAGUUCGUUAAACCUUAUCAUUUAGAGGAAGGAGAANUCGUAACA